UACGUAGGGGGCAAGCGUUGUCCGGAAUCAUUGGGCGUAAAGCGCGUGUAGGCGGCCAGAUAAGUCCGCUGUGAAAACUCGAGGCUUAACCUCGAGACGUCGGUGGAAACUGCCUGACUAGAGUCCGGAAGAGGAGAGUGGAAUUCCUGGUGUAGCGGUGAAAUGCGCAGAUAUCAGGAAGAACACCCGUGGCUAAGGCGGCUCUCUAGUACGGUACUGACGCUGAGACGCGAAAGCGUGGGGAGCGAACAGG
This 253-nucleotide ribosomal RNA is filed under the name uncultured bacterium. RNAcentral's name for it is "partial 16S ribosomal RNA". It matches the Rfam family "Bacterial small subunit ribosomal RNA", at positions 524 to 776 of the family's 1533-position model. The record is from RNAcentral.